Molecule: ribosomal RNA, 443 nt
Filed under: uncultured bacterium
Lineage: Bacteria
Description: partial 16S ribosomal RNA
Rfam family: Bacterial small subunit ribosomal RNA
Source: RNAcentral
CCUACGGGUGGCAGCAGUGGGGAAUAUUGGGCAAUGGGCGCAAGCCUGACCCAGCAACGCCGCGUGAAGGAAGAAGGCUUUCGGGUUGUAAACUUCUUUUCUGAGGGACGAAGAAAGUGACGGUACCUCAGGAAUAAGCCACGGCUAACUACGUGCCAGCAGCCGCGGUAAUACGUAUGGUGCAAGCGUUAUCCGGAUUUACUGGGUGUAAAGGGAGCGCAGGCGGCGCGUUAAGCCUGGUGUGAAAGCCCGCGGCCCAACCGCGGGACUGCAUUGGGAACUGGCGCGCUGGAGUGCCGGAGGGGUAGGCGGAAUUCCUAGUGUAGCGGUGAAAUGCGUAGAUAUUAGGAGGAACACCAGUGGCGAAGGCGGCCUACUGGACGGUGACUGACGCUGAGGCUCGAAAGCGUGGGGAGCAAACAGGAUUAGAUACCCCUGUAGUC